Puntigrus tetrazona (Sumatra barb) is the source of this 318-nucleotide long non-coding RNA. RefSeq lists it as uncharacterized. The transcript is spliced from 3 exons. The record is from RefSeq and is a predicted model, not a curated record. NCBI's taxonomy places the organism in Eukaryota, Metazoa, Chordata, Actinopteri, Cypriniformes, Cyprinidae.
AGUGAACUGCGUUUUCAUCCGCUCCACAAGGCGGCAGAAGCGCCUUUCAGAGACUUCGAACCCCCGACUGAUCAGAAGAAGUAGAAACCUGGGAAGAAAACACGACAGUUCGCGUCAAUAGUAAGAGAGGUGUUGAACGGAAGCAGAGCUCUGGAGCGUGAGGACAGACAGUGGCUGUAAUGAUGGACGUGACUCAUUUUCAAUGAUGCCACCCUUCCUUUUUCGUGUUCAGACUGAAGUACGUUAAGGUGGAUCUGUUUUGUCUUUUGCGAAAGGAAGAAGACGAGCAUCAAGUGAUUUCCAGUGGAUGCCAUGACC